GUUAAGUGUUCAGUCUGUACUAUUUUAAGACAAGAGAACAACUGCUUUCUCCGUGUUGACAUUUUCAGAAAUCCCAGCUAGUCUGAAGAGGAUUUCUAAUCCAGAAUGUAAGAGCCACUUACUUUUUCUAAAGUUCUCCUUCUUAAAUGUGACUUGUAUUUAGGAAUCACUUUACAGUCUAGGAUUCUGUGUGUGUUUAUAUUUAGAAACCUGCCUGUGAUGGAAAGCUGUGGCCCUGGCUUCCUAUGGACAGAGCAGCCCCUUCUGGGUGGGGGUCUCCCCUGCACCGCAAGGACCAUGAAGAGCACUGUCGUCACCACCGUCCACUGCAGCCCUUUCCUCCGAGGUUGGCCCAUUCGGUGUCUCUCUCUUGUGUCAGUCAGUUUUCCCCCACUGCACCAGAACACUUAAGAAAAUGGUCUGAAAGGAAGAAAGGCUUAUUUGGGCUCCUGGCUCAGCCCGUGGUCAGCUACUCUCUCAUUUCUGGAAGUGUGCUGAGCCAGAACAUCAUGGCAGAGCAAAGCCACUCGGCUGAUAGUGGCCAGAGGCAGAAUGAGAGAGGAAUGCAGCAGCGAGGAGGAGAAGAGCAGGAGCGGGGGACAUGGCAUAGGCCACACUCACCCCCCCAGGCCACCUCACGGGUCUCCAUAAUCUCAGAUGGCAUUAAAUGUGACCUCGUCAGUGGAUUCCUCCUUCAUGAUCAAAUCGCUUUCCAAAAGCCCACCUCUGAACACUGUGACAGUGGUAAUCAAGCCUCAUACAUAUUAACCUUUUGGGGGUGACAGUCCAGAUGCUGAUCAUAGCACCUUCAUACCUGAGAUGGCUUUGCUAGAGGACCUAAGAAUAAAUUAACCUACAAAAUAUGUGUGGAGUAACUAUUAUGGUUAAUAUAUACUAUUUUAUGUAUGUCUAUUUAUCUCAUAGUUCAAAAUAUUAAUAUUUUCUGACUAAAAUUAAUGUAGGUUUUGAAACAGUAAGAAAUAUCAAUUGCAGGUAUCUUAUUUAAUACCAUGUAUCAAUGAGUGAAGCAGUACAUUUUAAAUAAAACAAUCAGCUUUUGUGUUAGGCUGGAUUCAAAUCCCACACCACCCUCUUGUUCUCUAUGGCAAACUGAAAAUUUAGUGUAAGCCUUCAAAGUUUCAUUUUAUUCAUUUGUGAAGGUAUCAUAAUUAAUUUAAAUAUCCUUAGUAAGGCAUUCAUAUAUCCCCUUAGAAAUGCUG
Cavia porcellus (domestic guinea pig) is the source of this 1220-nucleotide long non-coding RNA. The record is from Ensembl. Lineage: Eukaryota; Metazoa; Chordata; Mammalia; Rodentia; Caviidae.